This 497-nucleotide ribosomal RNA is filed under the name uncultured bacterium. RNAcentral describes it as "partial 16S ribosomal RNA". It matches the Rfam family "Bacterial small subunit ribosomal RNA", at positions 28 to 507 of the family's 1533-position model. The record is from RNAcentral.
GAUGAACGCUGGCGGCGUGCCUAAUACAUGCAAGUCGAGCGAACAGACGAGGAGCUUGCUCCUCUGACGUUAGCGGCGGACGGGUGAGUAACACGUGGAUAACCUACCUAUAAGACUGGGAUAACUUCGGGAAACCGGAGCUAAUACCGGAUAAUAUAUUGAACCGCAUGGUUCAAUAGUGAAAUACGGUUUUGCUGUCACUUAUAGAUGGAUCCGCGCCGCAUUAGCUAGUUGGUAAGGUAACGGCUUACCAAGGCAACGAUGCGUAGCCGACCUGAGAGGCUGAUAGGCCACACUGGAGCUGGGCCACGGUCCAGACUCCUACGAGAGGCAGCAGUAGGGAAUCUUCCGCAAUGGUCGAAAGCCUGACGGAGCAACGCCGAGUGAGUGAUGAAGGUCUUCGGAUCGUAAAACUCUGUUAUUAGGGAAGAACAAAUGUGUAAGUAACUAUGCACGUCUUGACGGUACCUAAUCAGAAAGCAACGGCUAACUACGUG